Molecule: long non-coding RNA, 373 nt
Organism: Notothenia coriiceps (black rockcod)
Lineage: Eukaryota; Metazoa; Chordata; Actinopteri; Perciformes; Nototheniidae
Exons: 4
Source: RefSeq, a predicted model, not a curated record
UGGCGUCCCGGGCGCAGCAGCAGGAGGAGGCUCGGCUGCUCCUCCAGGAGAAGGAUCAGUGCAGGGAACAGGUCAGGCAGCUCAGCGAGCAAUCCGAUAGGCUUGAGCUGCUGCUGCUGAAGUCACAGGGGGAGGAGUUACAGCUGAGGACACGCCUCCGCAGACUCACCUGCAACACUCACCUGGGGGAGAGGAGCAGUGAGGAGGAGGAGGAGUCCACAGGGAGUGGUGCUAAAGGCAGCAGCGGGACGUCGGGGGAGAACGAGGAGCAGAAACAUAACCCACCUGUAGGGGGCGCCGCUGAGUCUAAGCAGGAGCCCAGCACUGCUGCAUCAUGGGACGAGGAGACAGGUGGCUGUCUCACCUAUAGAAG